This 253-nucleotide ribosomal RNA is filed under the name uncultured bacterium. Its description in RNAcentral is "partial 16S ribosomal RNA". It matches the Rfam family "Bacterial small subunit ribosomal RNA", at positions 524 to 776 of the family's 1533-position model. The record is from RNAcentral.
UACGGAGGGGGCUAGCGUUGUUCGGAAUUACUGGGCGUAAAGCGCGCGUAGGCGGAUCUGCAAGUCGGGGGUGAAAUCCCGAGGCUCAACCUCGGAACUGCCUUCGAUACUGCGGGUCUCGAGUCCGGGAGAGGUGAGUGGAAUUCCUAGUGUAGAGGUGAAAUUCGUAGAUAUUCGCAAGAACACCAGUGGCGAAGGCGGCUCACUGGCUCGGUACUGACGCUGAGGUGCGAAAGCGUGGGGAGCAAACAGG